RNAcentral lists this ribosomal RNA (460 nucleotides) under uncultured bacterium. Its description in RNAcentral is "partial 16S ribosomal RNA". It matches the Rfam family "Bacterial small subunit ribosomal RNA", at positions 338 to 795 of the family's 1533-position model. The record is from RNAcentral.
CCUACGGGUGGCAGCAGUGAGGAAUAUUGGUCAAUGGGCGCGAGCCUGAACCAGCCAAGUAGCGUGAAGGAUGACUGCCCUACGGGUUGUAAACAUCUUUUAUAAAGGAAUAAAGUGAGGAACGUGUGCCUUUUUGUAUGUACUUUAUGAAUAAGGAACGGCCAACUCCGUGCCAGCAGCCGCGGUAAGACGGAGGGUCCGAGCGUUAUUCGGAUUUAUAGGGUUUAAAGGGAGCGUAGAUGGGUUGUUAUGUCAGUUGUGAAAGUUUGCGGCUCAACCGUAAAAUUGCAUGUGAUACUGGCAGUCUUGAGUACAGUUGAGGUAGGCGGAAUUCUUGGUGUAGCGGUGAAAUGCUUAGAUAUCACGAAGAACUCCGAUUGCGAAGGCAGCUUACUAAACUGCCACUGACAUUGAUGCUCGAAAGUGUGGGUAUCAAACAGGAUUAGAUACCCGAGUAGUC